CUGAGUUGAAAAACUCCAACCCCUGUGUAUCUUACCUUCGUCGUUGCUUCGGCGGCCUGUCGAUUCCCCUCGGGGGGUUGGCGCCGCCGGAGGUAUCAAACUCUGAAUUUUUAGUGUAUCUCUGAGCACAAAAAACAAUAAUCA
This 144-nucleotide unclassified non-coding RNA is filed under the name uncultured Magnaporthaceae. Its description in RNAcentral is "sequence contains ITS1". The record is from RNAcentral. Lineage: Eukaryota; Fungi; Ascomycota; Sordariomycetes; Magnaporthales; Magnaporthaceae.